This is a long non-coding RNA of Hevea brasiliensis (rubber tree), 2059 nucleotides long. RefSeq lists it as uncharacterized. The record is from RefSeq and is a predicted model, not a curated record. Lineage: Eukaryota; Viridiplantae; Streptophyta; Magnoliopsida; Malpighiales; Euphorbiaceae. The transcript has 2 exons.
UCCAGAUUAAGGAAAUAACAAAAAAAAAAAAAAACUAAAAUAACUUUUUUGGACCAAUCGGCAAGAAGGGACCAAAAUUGGUCCUCUUCUUCGCAUGCUGGCCGAACAGAGACUUUCCCCUUUUCAUUUUUCGGCGAGCUUAUCACCAUGGCCGGCAAGCGUUCUUCGAGCCCAACAUCUCCAGUGAAACCCAACAGUUCUAGUGAAGGCUGUCACACCCUCCUUUGUGAUCCAAGCGGCACUUAAUGCAAGAGGAAACCUCUAUUGUUUCCGACGACGCUAGGAAGAACCCAAGGCUUUAAUAGCCAUUUUCAACAUUUCUCUGGCCAUGCGAACAACCCAGACUAGUGCCUCUCAACAAUGGAAACGAGAGAAACCCGUGCGACGGGGAGAGGAUCAUCCAAGGCCAUUUCCGGCCAUCUCCGACAACGGGAAGACAGGGGACGCCUGCAGCGAGAUUCUGGCAGCACUAGGUUCCUCGUCCGACCAAGACUCGCCGGUUUUAAUGGAGUUUCCGGCAAGAAACGAAGAGAGAGAAAGAGGAGAGAGAAAGUGACGGCAUUGGCUUUCUGGCCACUUUUCCGGUGAUCCGACCGUCGAAUCAGAAAUCCGAGAUGACCGAUGGAUUCGGGACGACGAGAUCUUUGAGAUAGGACCAAUCUCACUCCGAUCGGACACAAUUUGAAAAAUGUGAUAAUCGGACGAUCCAGAUCGCUUAGUGAGAUUUUCGAACUUUUUUUAUUUCCAAAAUUUAAAAAUAAUUUUAUAAUAAUUAUUAACACAAUUUGGACUUAAUUUUGGUGUAAUCGGAUCGAGGAUAGCUUUCAGUUAGAUUCGGCUGCCCGUCUCAGAACGUAUUCGAUAUUACAGUUAAUCCUAGCAUUUUUAGACGUUCUAAACACGUUCCAGGUAUCAAAAUUGGUAUAGGUAAACCCGAACUACAAGUUUCUCAUUUUUUGCUAAUACCGAUUUAGAAUAAAAUUCAUAAAAUAUUCGUGGAUGAUCAAAAAAUUUUAAUUCUUUUUGCAAUAGCCUUAUAAUAUUAUUAAGGACCGCGGGGAAAAAUUUUAGAAUUUUUAGAGCUCGUUUAGGUAAUUUUUGCAAAAAGGCUAGUUAUAGGGGCUAAAUUGUAAUUUUUUGAAUUGUGAUUGUUGACUGUUUGGGUGGGCCCAGGAGGAGCCUUGUGAUGUGAUUGUGUUGUGAUUAUGUGAUUGGCAGAUAUAGAAGUGUAUUUUGAAGCUUUUUGCAGGUUGGGUAAGUCCUAGGUAUAGGGAAAACUCUGUCGGAUUUUCGACAUGAAUUAGGAUGUCUGUUGCCUCUUUAUUCAUUUUGACUUAGUACUAAUAAAUUUAUAAUUUAAUUAUUAGGUGAUUGAUGUUAGCUAUUUUCCUCCAUCCAGCAGCCACAAUAGUCCUUGGUGUACUGUGAGUAAAAUAUUAAUUUUAAUUGUAAUUUUGAUAUUAUUAUAUGUUCAAGCAUAACCAUGCAUCACUUAUAUGUAUAUAUUUAUGUAGUUAAAUACUAAGCACAUUUUAUGUUGCAUUUAUAAUUGUUAAAGUGCCAUGAAUGUUGUUGUGGUAAUUUAGAGCAGUGUGCGUGAGUUGGCGUGCGUGUGGUAUGGUGUUGGCUAUGGACAGGACGGGUAGACACGGCUUGAGAUCUUCGCUGGGACCCGGUCCUUUGGGGUAGACACGGCUUGAGUUCUUCGCUGGGACCCCGAUUUGGUUUAUUAAGCGAAAGUCCGGCUUUAGUUCUUCGCUGGCACAUGUUGGAUUAAGAGGGCUGUAUAGGGGAUCAGCUCCCAUAUAUGUAUUGUUUGACAUUAUCAGGGAAAAGAUGGAAGGAUUCCUUGCUCGUUUGCUUAUCUACAAAUUGAAAAUUGAUUCUCAAGAAAAGGACUUCAGCCAUCUCUACAGUCUGAUAUCAUCAAAUGCAAACUCAGGUGUACAUACAUGUAAAUCCUCAAGUAGUAACUUGAUAUGUAUGUUUGUAGAAGAGCUUUGAUGUUUAAUUUGUUUUCUUGCUUCCAUCAAUCAAAUACGAUAAAAAAUUUUGUCAA